Molecule: small nuclear RNA, 193 nt
Filed under: Oncorhynchus tshawytscha (Chinook salmon)
Lineage: Eukaryota; Metazoa; Chordata; Actinopteri; Salmoniformes; Salmonidae
Description: U2 spliceosomal RNA
Rfam family: U2 spliceosomal RNA
About the family: U2 is a small nuclear RNA (snRNA) component of the spliceosome (involved in pre-mRNA splicing). Complementary binding between U2 snRNA (in an area lying towards the 5' end but 3' to hairpin I) and the branchpoint sequence (BPS) of the intron results the bulging out of an unpaired adenosine, on the BPS, which initiates a nucleophilic attack at the intronic 5' splice site, thus starting the first of two transesterification reactions that mediate splicing.
Source: Rfam by way of RNAcentral
AUCGCUUCUCUCGGCCUUUUGGCUCAGAUCAAGUGUUAGUAUCUGUUCUUAUCAGUUUAAUAUCUGAUACGUCCCCAUCGGGGGAACACAUAUUAAAUGGAUUUUUCGAACAGGGAGUCGGAAAAUGGGGCUUGCUCCGUCCGCUCCACGCAUCGACCCGGUAUUGGCAGUACCUCCGGAACGGGCAGACACU